UGGUGGAAAGUGCUGUGGAUCACACAUCGGUUUCCGAUAAUGAUGGGUUGGAAGAAAUUCUUUUCCCAUUCUUCGUUCCAGUCCUUGUCUUCCGC
This 95-nucleotide transfer RNA is filed under the name Bacteroides ovatus. RNAcentral's name for it is "tRNA-Arg(ccg)". The record is from RNAcentral. RNAcentral also lists the same sequence under 1 other name. Lineage: Bacteria; Pseudomonadati; Bacteroidota; Bacteroidia; Bacteroidales; Bacteroidaceae.